UACGUAGGGGGCAAGCGUUGUCCGGAAUCAUUGGGCGUAAAGAGCGUGUAGGCGGCCCGGUAAGUCCGCUGUGAAAGUCCAGGGCUCAACCCUGGAAUGCCGGUGGAAACUGUCGGGCUAGAGUCCGGAAGAGGCGAGUGGAAUUCCUGGUGUAGCGGUGAAAUGCGCAGAUAUCAGAAGGAACACCAAUGGCGAAGGCAGCUCGCUGGGACGGUACUGACGCUGAGACGCGAAAGCGUGGGGAGCAAACAGG
RNAcentral lists this ribosomal RNA (253 nucleotides) under uncultured bacterium. RNAcentral's name for it is "partial 16S ribosomal RNA". It matches the Rfam family "Bacterial small subunit ribosomal RNA", at positions 524 to 776 of the family's 1533-position model. The record is from RNAcentral.